UCAAUAAGUUCAAGCUUCUGUUGCUAGGGCUGUUACUAAAACUUGAAACAUUUUGACCGGAUUACGUAAUGAACCAAGUGUCCACUGCUAUGCUGGUUGCUUGGCUCUAUUUUACCUCGUAGUGGUCGCGAAGGAAGGAGGAUCCGGGCAGUUCUAGUUCUAUUUCACUGCAUAAACGCUCGCUCAGUCCAAACAAAAUUAUUAGCUCAGAAUAGUUCUCCAAGGAUGGUGUUUUUGACAGUGACAACCUGCUGACUACCUGCUGCUUCAGAGGACUGAAACGACUGGAAAGAAAACACUUUGUUUACCAUGCAAAGUACGAUGAAGACAGCACUGAUCUCGACAAGAGGCGCAACAUGCAGAGAAAUUCACAGUUCAGGGCAAUCAUAUCUACCUACGGGGGAAGGAUGGCCAGCCACACGGGAGGGUGAUUUUUACUGAGGAGGAGAAGGAGGCUACUCUGGCUGUGCUGACCGAGAUGCGUGGUGGCCAUUUCAGAGUGAAGCGCAUGAUUGCCAAAAUCAACCUACGCUUCUUCUGAUGGGGAAUUGUCAAGGAGGUGGACAGCUGGGCAAGUGAAAUAACCU
This is a long non-coding RNA of Salvelinus fontinalis (brook trout), 587 nucleotides long. RefSeq lists it as uncharacterized. NCBI's taxonomy places the organism in Eukaryota, Metazoa, Chordata, Actinopteri, Salmoniformes, Salmonidae. The record is from RefSeq and is a predicted model, not a curated record. The transcript has 3 exons.